This 494-nucleotide ribosomal RNA is filed under the name uncultured bacterium. RNAcentral describes it as "partial 16S ribosomal RNA". It matches the Rfam family "Bacterial small subunit ribosomal RNA", at positions 28 to 507 of the family's 1533-position model. The record is from RNAcentral.
GACGAACGCUGGCGGCGUGCUUAACACAUGCAAGUCGAACGGUGAAGCGCCUUCCUUUUUGGUGGGUGUGGAUGAGUGGCGAACGGGUGAGUAACACGUGAGUAACCUGCCCCCUUCUUCUGGAUAACCGCAUGAAAGUGUGGCUAAUACGGGAUAUUCUGGGUCUGUCGCAUGAUGGGUCUGGGAAAGAUAUUGUUUCGGUGGGGGAUGGGCUCGCGGCCUAUCAGCUUGUUGGUGGGGUGAUGGCCUACCAAGGCGGUGACGGGUAGCCGGCCUGAGAGGGUGGACGGUCACGCUGGGACUGAGACACGGCCCAGACUCCUACGGGAGGCAGCAGUGGGGAAUAUUGCACAAUGGGCGCAAGCCUGAUGCAGCGACGCCGCGUGAGGGAUGGAGGCCUUCGGGUUGUGAACCUCUUUCGCCGGUGAAGCAGGCCUGCCUCGUUUGUGGGUGGGUUGACGGUAGCUGGAUAAGAAGCGCCGGCUAACUACGUG